UACGUAGGGGGCAAGCGUUGUCCGGAUUUAUUGGGCGUAAAGCGCGUGUAGGCGGCCACGCAGGUCCGCUGUGAAAACUCGAGGCUCAACCUCGAGCUGUCGGUGGAAACCGCGUGGCUAGAGUCCGGAAGAGGGGACUGGAAUUCCCGGUGUAGCGGUGGAAUGCGCAGAUAUCAGGAGGAACACCGGUGGCGAAGGCGGGUCUCUGGGCAGUAACUGACGCUGAGGAGCGAAAGCGUGGGGAGCGAACAGG
This 253-nucleotide ribosomal RNA is filed under the name uncultured bacterium. RNAcentral describes it as "partial 16S ribosomal RNA". It matches the Rfam family "Bacterial small subunit ribosomal RNA", at positions 524 to 776 of the family's 1533-position model. The record is from RNAcentral.